This 73-nucleotide transfer RNA is filed under the name Suillus luteus UH-Slu-Lm8-n1. RNAcentral's name for it is "tRNA-Trp (CCA) (tRNA-Trp-CCA-1-1)". It matches the Rfam family "tRNA". From Rfam's summary of the family: Transfer RNA (tRNA) molecules are approximately 80 nucleotides in length. Their secondary structure includes four short double-helical elements and three loops (D, anti-codon, and T loops). The record is from RNAcentral. RNAcentral also lists the same sequence under 1 other name. Lineage: Eukaryota; Fungi; Basidiomycota; Agaricomycetes; Boletales; Suillaceae.
GAACCCGUGGCGCAGUGGUAGCGCGUAUGAUUCCAGAUCCAUAAGGUCAUCCGUUCAAUCCGGGUCGGGUUCA